UGUGUGUUCCAGCUGUUCACCUGGCCGUUUAUGCAAAAGGACUGAACAUCUGAACACAGUGAAUCUACCAGACAGCUCAUAUUAGUGGAAAGAUGAACCAGCACGGGAGUCCAAAGCAGUAAUUUUAUACUGAACAAGUGGUGAUGGAGCUACUGAAACCUCUUUUCUUCUUUUUACUCAACUUCCAUUCGCUCCAGUUGUGUUCAUUACUUUGGUCAUUGAGUACCUCUUCUACCACUACCUGAGCAGAAUCACAGAAUGGUUGAGGUUGAAAGAGACCUCUGGAGGUCAUCUUGUCCAAUCCACCUUUUCGAGCAAGGUCACCCAGAGCACUUUGCCCAGGAUAUGUCCAGAUGGCUUGUGAAUAUCUCCAAGAAUGGAGACUCUACAACUUCACCUGUGCCAGUGCUCUGUCAUCUUCACUUCUGAGAUUUAAAGUAUACAAGUUUUGAAGUCCUGCACAUGCUCAAAAGCACCUGAGGCCUGAUAAAGCUAUGUGGCUAGAAACCAAGUCCAUGACCAAAUCCCCACAAAAGCUGCCCACCAGGAGAGCCUUUGCCAGAGGAAUCCAGCUGGAAAAGGGAUCUCCAUGCCACUGUCAUCUGAGUUUAUUGUCCAGGACUUAGUGAAAGUCUGCACACGAAAAACUGAAAAACAUGUAGGAGAAUGCAUGUGGAGCACCUUUACUUACAGUAAAAUGGGUCUUUCUACAAUACUGCUGAAAAGUGUUGGGAAGGGUACAUGGACCACAAAGGCUGUUUAACAAUGCAAUGGCUGCAGAGCCUGGAAAAUCGGGAGAUUUUAUCAAUGAAGGUCAAACUGUUGAGGUUUUAAACCUCAGGAGGCUGAAGAGCAAAAUUAUUUUUAUGGUGGCAAUCUGAAUAUCCAAAGGAACAGGGAAACUCUUGCAUGGGAACAGAAAAACAAUUAUGUCCUUAUCUGGUGCAGUGUGACAAAACAUUGGUUACAGCCUGUGAUUUCAAUUUAAAUUAUUUGGGAAAUUGGGCUCAAGACAUGCAAGCACUAGUAGGAGAUGCUAUGCAUGUUAUGCUGCCUCUUUUCAACUUGGAGGCAGGAACAGCUAUUUGCUCUCAUGGUGGGUGUCUAUAUGAAGCUAUUUGCAGCAUUAUUCUGAGGAAGGAUAAGCUUCUCUGCAGCUGAGUUUGGAGACUACCACU
This is a long non-coding RNA of Cygnus olor (mute swan), 1178 nucleotides long. RefSeq lists it as uncharacterized. The transcript has 4 exons. The record is from RefSeq and is a predicted model, not a curated record. NCBI's taxonomy places the organism in Eukaryota, Metazoa, Chordata, Aves, Anseriformes, Anatidae.